CAAGAACGUCCUGAAAACUAGUGACGGUGUACUGUACCAAAGUGGAGCUCCUACACGUACUAGUGGACGCUUGUUCUCACGAAACAACAUCGUCCUUCUAGAUAGACCUGUAUAAACUUUGUAAGUCACACAUACAGAGUUAGGAAGUCGACGCAUGAAUUCGGCAUGAAGUAGCUACGAUGUGUCACAGCGACAGGUCUACGUGACAAUACUUCUUACAGUAACACGUUCCUUGUCCGUAGACCCGGUAUACCAGCCAGCUGAUAUGUUCGACAAUAUUUGUAACAUUGCAUCUUACUACUCGUUGUCUUGACACCCGGUAUAAUUGGAUCUGCUUAAACGACAUUUGUACAUGCAUACUCCUCUACACAAGUAGGAUGUCGCCGUCUUUUCCUGCUCCUCUUACAAAACAUCGUUUCAUGAAUACCGUACAAAACCUUACCAAACCAAUAGUUAAAGUACACGCCGUUGUAUACACCUUGACAAGUCGUCAUAACCAAUGGACACACUGAAGCAGAUGAACUCGUUAAGUUUAUCCACGGUCAAGCGCAAUGUUCUAAAACCAUUAAGCUGCGCGUUUUUUUUUCUAAAACCAUUGGACUGUUCACACGACGGUUUAAAACCUUCCGCAGAACGAUUGGGGCUGGCAAAUCAAACAAACAACGCCCUAGUUACCGCCCCGCGUCACGGACAGGUACUUGCUCUUUCUUGAUCACGUUGUCGCACGGACGAACUUGUUACCACU
Molecule: ribosomal RNA, 745 nt
Filed under: Triticum aestivum (bread wheat)
Lineage: Eukaryota; Viridiplantae; Streptophyta; Magnoliopsida; Poales; Poaceae
Description: partial small subunit ribosomal RNA
Source: RNAcentral